UUUUUGGCCCUACGAAAUUCA
Non-coding RNA from Caenorhabditis elegans, 21 nucleotides. Lineage: Eukaryota; Metazoa; Nematoda; Chromadorea; Rhabditida; Rhabditidae. The record is from Ensembl.